Molecule: long non-coding RNA, 783 nt
Filed under: Felis catus (domestic cat)
Lineage: Eukaryota; Metazoa; Chordata; Mammalia; Carnivora; Felidae
Description: lncRNA (ENSFCAG00000049584.1)
Source: RNAcentral
AUGCUGAUGCCCACGCGCCGGUCAGGCUUGCACAUCAGCACAUCGGCCGGCGGGCCUGUGGGCUUUUGUCUGAACACUCGCCCACGGACAGGACUGCCACUCAGAGCACCAACGAGGGAGAAAGGAGAAGAAAGCUCGCUCCCUUCCCAGAAAGGGCUGAAUCAGCACCGAACGCCCUGCCAUGCGCCAGCUCCCUCGCCCAAUCGCAUGCUGGAAGCGACAGGGACCUCUCAAGAAGCUCCCAAGUCACUGCCCCUCCUGGCCACCAUCCCCUCUGACGGCCCCUCGCACCAGCCACGGAGGAGUCAGGCCCUGGGAGUCCCUCAGCAAAGGGACAGACUGGACAGCGAGCCUGAGUGCACAGGAGUGUCCAGAGGCUCCUCCCCCUGCGUCCCGGCACCUGGCUCUGGCCCGCAGGGACCCAGCACCUGCGCCUUUGUUCAAGGAAAGUGCUUCUCCGGUUCCUCCUCCCUGUGCCUCCCUCCUCCGGUUCGCCCCCGCCCUGUGCCUCCCUUUGCUUCUGUCCUCACCCUGGCCUCCCUGCGACCUUGCCAACUGGACCAUCCUCCUGCCUGGCUUCCCUCUCCCCCACACCCACUGCCUCCGGGCCAAGCCCCAGCCCCCCCCCACCCCCCCCCAGCUCUCGGGCAGGCCAGGUUCCCAAAUCAAGGGCCCACUCGCCCCCAUUUCCGACCUGUCCCAUCACCAGGGGCAGCACUGCCACCUGCAGAACCUUCCAGAUGCUCUCUGAGCCCAUCUUCUCCCACCUGGAGUCCCGCAUGA